CGAUGGUACGCCUUAGAUGCGGCCAGAGAUUAACGGAUAUAAGUUACCCUGGGGAUAACAGGCUAGUUCCGCCCAAGCGUCCAUAGCGACGGCGGAGUUCGGCACCUCGAUGUCGGCUCACCUUAGCGCGGGGCUGGAGAAAACACACCUUCUCUCCCUAUCGGAAACGAUAGGGUAAUUAAACAAGCUCAAAACGGUGAAGGCUGACUCAUGCACCGCGACCUCAUGUUUCGGAGGUCCCAAGUCUGGUAGACUUGAUGUAUGAGAGCUAACGCCGUGGGAAAGGGUUGUUCUGAAGUUGAACGGGCAUAUAUUGCCGGUUUUCUUGAUGCGGAUGGCGCCGUUAUGGCGUGCAUCGAAAAGCACAAAGGAAAACGGUUUGGAUUUCGUGUGCGUGUUGCGCUCAAAGUAACGCAACACGAGCGCAAAAUCUUGGAUUGGAUACAACGCAUGACACAUGCUGGAAAUGUGAGGGCAAAUCGUCCUGACGAUAUUCGUCAGACAUACGAUUUGCUCAUCCGCGACCGCAGUGACGUGCGAGCAGUCUUGCAGUUGUUACUGCCGUACUUGCGCGCGAAGCGCAAGCAAGCGCAGAUGGCACUUAAAAUUCUUGAUCAUGAGGUCAAGAGCGAGACAGAUCUAAUUCGAAAUGCCCGUUUGGCAGAUGCUUUGUCGCGGUUCAAUGUUCGGUCCAAAAACCGGCGGAAGAACUUUGUGAUAAAGAUCCAAGAACAUCUCUCCCCUAACGACUGAUUGUAAUUCUUUUGGGAAUUGCAUGAGAUAUGCCCGCAGUAAGCGGCGGGGUAUCACACGGCUUGCAUCUACGAUUGUAGUGGUGACAUUACAACUAUGAUGAUGGAAUAGUCUGAUACUCGCAGGAAUGCGAGAGAACAAAGAAAUGAGGUCCCAAGCGUUUGGCUGUUCGCCAAUUAAAAAGGUACGCGAGCUGGGUUCAAACCGUGCAGGAGAGCAGGUUCUAGGAAGUUAGUCGUUAGGCUUUAGCGAAUUGCUAGUGCCUAGUGCCUAGUUUCCUGGUCUUUUGCACCCGUUUGAAUCCCUUUGAGUUUCUGUUAUCAGAACCCAAUAAAGUGAAUGUUUUUUCGUCUAAAACAAAUAAAAAAAGCCCCGACGUAAAAAGUCGGGGUCCCGACCAAAGCGUCGGGAAUAAGAGACAACAAUGACACGGCGAUGUAUUGCAGGAAUGUAAUACAUACCAUCAACUUAUAUCGGUGAAGUCCCGCGAGGGAUAACACCGAGGGAAGCUCAGAAUGUGCUACUAUAGAAGUAUGGGAGCAUAAAUAUUUGAGUGCCCGUAGAGACUGAAUGUUGAUUGCCCAGAACGGGCAAAGUUACAGUCCGAUGCACGCAGUAAUGCGUGGAAACAUGCGUGAGACAGGUUGGUCUCCUAUCUACUACAGGCGUUGAUUCUUGAGGAGGGUUGUCCCUAGUACGAGAGGACCGGGAUGAACUGACCUCUGGUCUACCAGCUGUUCUGCCAAGAGCAUCGCUGGGUAGCUAUGUCGGGUUGCGAUAACCGCUGAAAGCAUAUAAGCGGGAAGCGUGCUCCAAGAUUAGGAAUCGUUAUGAGAC
RNAcentral lists this ribosomal RNA (1590 nucleotides) under bacterium. RNAcentral's name for it is "partial 23S ribosomal RNA". It matches the Rfam family "Bacterial large subunit ribosomal RNA", at positions 2421 to 2823 of the family's 2925-position model. The record is from RNAcentral.